This 700-nucleotide ribosomal RNA is filed under the name uncultured bacterium. RNAcentral's name for it is "bacterial SSU rRNA". It matches the Rfam family "Bacterial small subunit ribosomal RNA", at positions 56 to 753 of the family's 1533-position model. The record is from RNAcentral.
UGCAAGUCGAACGGCAGCACGGGGCAACCUGGUGGCGAGUGGCGAACGGGUGAGUAAUACAUCGGAACGUGCCCAAUCGUGGGGGAUAACGUAGCGAAAGUUACGCUAAUACCGCAUACGAUCUACGGAUGAAAGCGGGGGAUCGCAAGACCUCGCGCGAAUGGAGCGGCCGAUGUCAGAUUAGGUAGUUGGUGGGGUAAAGGCUCACCAAGCCAACGAUCUGUAGCUGGUCUGAGAGGACGACCAGCCACACUGGAACUGAGACACGGUCCAGACUCCUACGGGAGGCAGCAGUGGGGAAUUUUGGACAAUGGGCGCAAGCCUGAUCCAGCCAUUCCGCGUGCAGGAUGAAGGCCUUCGGGUUGUAAACUGCUUUUGUACGGAACGAAACGGCUCUCUCUAAUACAGGGGGCUAAUGACGGUACCGUAAGAAUAAGCACCGGCUAACUACGUGCCAGCAGCCGCGGUAAUACGUAGGGUGCAAGCGUUAAUCGGAAUUACUGGGCGUAAAGCGUGCGCAGGCGGUUAUAUAAGACAGAUGUGAAAUCCCCGGGCUCAACCUGGGAACUGCAUUUGUGACUGUAUGGCUAGAGUACGGCAGAGGGGGAUGGAAUUCCGCGUGUAGCAGUGAAAUGCGUAGAUAUGCGGAGGAACACCGAUGGCGAAGGCAAUCCCCUGGGCCUGUACUGACGCUCAUGCA